AUUGAACGCUGGCGGCAAGCCUAACACAUGCAAGUCGAACGAGUGGCGGACGGGAGAGUAAUGUCUGGGAAACUGCCUGAUGGAGGGGGAUAACUACUGGAAACGGUAGCUAAUACCGCAUACCAUCGGAUGUGCCCAGAUGGGAUUAGCUAGUAGGUGGGGUAAAGGCUCACCUAGGCGACGAUCCCUAGCUGGUCUGAGAGGAUGACCAGCCCAAGUGGACCUGGGACCCGGUCCAGAGUCCUACGGGCGGCAGCCGUUGGGAAUAUUGCACAGUUGGCGCAAGCCUGAUGCAGCCAUGCCGCGUGUAUGAAGAAGGCCUUCGGGUUGUAAAGUACUUUCAGCGGGGAGGCGUUACCCGCAGAAGAAGCACCGGCUAACUCCGUGCCAGCAGCCGCGGUAAUUC
This 406-nucleotide ribosomal RNA is filed under the name uncultured bacterium. RNAcentral describes it as "partial 16S ribosomal RNA". It matches the Rfam family "Bacterial small subunit ribosomal RNA", at positions 30 to 526 of the family's 1533-position model. The record is from RNAcentral.